AACAAACAUAAUGAGCUCUUUGAUUACUCAUAAGACUCCAACAUCAACAGGAAAAACUUCUCAUCCAACCAUAUAACACAAAAGUCUCACUCAUACGACGAUCCUCACUCCAUAUAUAUACAACCUUCUUACUUACUUGAAGAUAGAGAUAAUGAGAAUUCCAGAAUUCGUUUACCCUCCAUAGCGGACGUCGGUGAACUUGUUCUUAAUCCACUUGAAGCUGUUGCGGACGGAGGACUUGAGUUUGGCCUCCAUGGUGAAGACGUUGUAGGAGGCGACGCGGCGCUUCCGCUUCAUCUCCGGCGAACUCCCGUCCUUCCCCCUCGGCCCGUUGAAGUUGUAGGAGUUGGAUCGCUUGUCGUAGCCGAAGCCGGAGGAGUAGGAGGAUGAGUAAUCCGGACAAGAACGGCUCUUCUCCAUUGAUUGCUCCUACAACUUCAACGGAG
Molecule: unclassified non-coding RNA, 446 nt
Filed under: Hevea brasiliensis (rubber tree)
Lineage: Eukaryota; Viridiplantae; Streptophyta; Magnoliopsida; Malpighiales; Euphorbiaceae
Source: RNAcentral